AUGCACGCUGGCGGCGUGCUUAACCCCUGCAAGUCGCACGGAAAGGCCCAAGCUUGCUUGGGUACUCGAGUGGCGAACGGGUGAGUAACACGUGGGUGAUCUGCCCUGCACUUCGGGAUAAGCCUGGGAAACUGGGUCUAAUACCGGAUAGGACCACAUUUUGGAUGGUGUGGUGGAAAGUUUUUCGGUGUGGGAUGAGCUCGCAGCCUAUCAGCUUGUUGGUGGGGUAAUGGCCUACCAAGGCGUCGACGGGUAGCCGGCCUGAGAGGGUGUACGGCCACAUUGGGACUGAGAUACGGCCCAGACUCCUACGGGAGGCAGCAGUGGGGAAUAUUACACAAUGGGCGCAAGCCUGAUGCAGCGACGCCGCGUGGGGGAUGACGACCUUCGGGUUGUAAACUCCUUUCGCUAGGGACGAAGCGUUUUUGUGACGGUACCUGGAGAAGAAGCACCGGCUAACUACGUG
RNAcentral lists this ribosomal RNA (466 nucleotides) under uncultured bacterium. RNAcentral's name for it is "partial 16S ribosomal RNA". It matches the Rfam family "Bacterial small subunit ribosomal RNA", at positions 29 to 507 of the family's 1533-position model. The record is from RNAcentral.